CUCACCCCCUUCUUCAACAUCUGACAGAUACAUUAGAACAGUUGCUGUCCGUUGGCCCCCAUUCUUAGUGUUGAACUCAUCAAGAAAAUAAUCAUAGUGAGCCUCAUACUUCUGCCCAACUUCAUAAUGAAGAACUUGAACUCCUUCUCCAUGCUCUGUAGGUCAUCAAGUAAUUUCAAAUAGGCACUAGCUGAAGAAUUAGAAACUAGUUAUAGUUCAGAGUACAGUAGAUACAGUGAACCAUUACACACAUGCAUCACUAUUGUUCUACUCGUUAGUGACUUAAAUAUCCUCUUCAAAAUCGUCUACAUGAAAAGCAUACAUUAAAUUCAUAUUAGAGCUCGUCGCAAAUGACACUUAAAAUUCAGGGAAAAAAAAUACACAGCCUAGUAUAUUCAAAAUACUUCAAAGCAUUUAUCCUUCAUGAUAAAACAGUAAAUAAAACUUAAAAUAGUCAUGUCACGCUUGCAGGCCAUAUAAAUAUAGGCUGAAAGGAUCAGAUUGUGUAUAGCUAAGAAGUGGUUUGCGCAGGUAUUUUGCUUACCGCCUGCCCCCAGCAAAGCUUUUAGCAAAAAGUUUUAAAUGUUGAGAAUUCAUUUUCUUUAAAAAAAAGCUUGAAAUACUUCUUUAACAAAAUAUUUCGAAAUGCAGCAGACAAAAUGAACUACUGGGUCGGCCAUACAAAAUGUCAUGCGCUUAAUCAGCAUACAAGAUACUGCUGGUCUAACAUCCUAAGUUUAUUGUUUCAAACCAAAUUAAACAUUUGUUAAUAUAUUUUUGAAUGUCAUAC
Molecule: unclassified non-coding RNA, 790 nt
Filed under: Hevea brasiliensis (rubber tree)
Lineage: Eukaryota; Viridiplantae; Streptophyta; Magnoliopsida; Malpighiales; Euphorbiaceae
Source: RNAcentral